UACGAAGGGGGCUAGCGUUGUUCGGAAUUACUGGGCGUAAAGCGCACGUAGGCGGACUUGUAAGUCAGGGGUGAAAUCCCAGAGCUUAACUCCGGAACUGCCAUUGAUACUGCAAGUCUUGAGGAUGAGAGAGGUGAGUGGAACUGCGAGUGUAGAGGUGAAAUUCGUAGAUAUUCGCAAGAACACCAGUGGCGAAGGCGGCUCACUGGCUCAUUUCUGACGCUGAGGUGCGAAAGCGUGGGGAGCAAACAGG
This 253-nucleotide ribosomal RNA is filed under the name uncultured bacterium. Its description in RNAcentral is "partial 16S ribosomal RNA". It matches the Rfam family "Bacterial small subunit ribosomal RNA", at positions 524 to 776 of the family's 1533-position model. The record is from RNAcentral.